GUGCUCGCUUCAGCAGUACAUAUACUAAAACUGGAACGAUACAGAGACGACUACCAUGGCCUCUGCACAAGGGUGACAUACAAAUUCAUGAAGCAUUCCAUAGUUUU
Hippopotamus amphibius kiboko is the source of this 107-nucleotide small nuclear RNA. The record is from RefSeq and is a predicted model, not a curated record. Lineage: Eukaryota; Metazoa; Chordata; Mammalia; Artiodactyla; Hippopotamidae.